GGGCAGGUGGGUGGUCACGUUGAUUACAUAGCCUAUGUUCAUCCUCUGCAUUUUCUCCAAGUCCUGAGCAUCAUGCUCAUUUCCGAGGAAGAGGAAGGGCAGGAUGGGGGUGAGCUCGGCAUUCUCGAUGUCCGGCGUGGUGGGGAUGGACUGAGGUAGUGUGGGGGGCACUGCGGACGCACCGCCGCCUCCCCCCUCCGGGCACUCUUGCAGCUGGAGGGAGUUAUCACAGAGGUUUUCGUGGUUCUGCUUGAAACCGCUGAGUCCUCCUUUUAGGACUAGGGGUUCCUUGCCUU
Molecule: long non-coding RNA, 296 nt
Filed under: Gallus gallus (chicken)
Lineage: Eukaryota; Metazoa; Chordata; Aves; Galliformes; Phasianidae
Source: RNAcentral